RNAcentral lists this ribosomal RNA (1493 nucleotides) under metagenome. RNAcentral's name for it is "bacterial SSU rRNA". It matches the Rfam family "Bacterial small subunit ribosomal RNA". The record is from RNAcentral.
AGAGUUUGAUCCUGGCUCAGAACGAACGCUGACGGCGUGGCUAAGACAUGCAAGUCGUACGGACCUGUCAAUUGAGUAAUCAAGAGUCAGGUUGGUGGCGAAAGGGUGAGUAAUGCAUAGACAACGUACCCUUAACUCCGGGAUAGCUGCGGUCUUCGGACCUUUAGCGAAAGUGCAGAUAAUACCGGAUAAAAUCCUAGUGUCGCAUGGCACAUGGACCAAAGGUUUCGACCGGUUUUGGAGCGAUCUAUGUCGUAUCAGCUUGUUGGUGAGGUAAUGGCUCACCAAGGCUUCGACGCGUACCGGGACUGAGAGGUUGACCCGGCACAUUGGGACUGAGACACUGCCCAGACCCCCACGGGGGGCUGCAGUAACGAAUAUUGCGCAAUGGACGAAAGUCUGACGCAGCAACGCCGUGUGUAGGAUGAAGCCCUUCGGGGUGUAAACUACUGUCAGGGAUUAGAAAGGCUUCGGCUUGAUCAGUCCCAAAGGAAGGACCGGCUAACUUCGUGCCAGCAGCCGCGGUAAUACGAAGGGUCCAAGCGUUGUUCGGAAUUACUGGGCUUAAAGCGCGCGUAGGCGGAAUGGUAAGUGUCUUGUGAAAUCCCUCGGCUCAACCGAGGAACUGCUUGGCAAACUACUAUUCUUGAGGCAAGUAGGGGUGCAUGGAACUCUAGGUGGAGCGGUGAAAUGCGUAGAUAUCUAGAGGAACGCCCGCGGAGAAAUCGGUGCACUGGGCUUGUUCUGACGCUGAGGCGCGAAAGCGUGGGUAGCGAACGGGAUUAGAUACCCCGGUAGUCCACGCCGUAAACGAUGUAUACUAGGUCGUAGUUGCUCUGACGCUGGUACGGCCGAAGCAAAAGUGUUAAGUAUACCGCCUGGGGAGUACGGUCGCAAGGCUAAAACUCAAAGGAAUUGACGGGGGCUCACACAAGCGGUGGAGCAUGUGGCUUAAUUCGAUCAACGCGAAGAACCUUAUCCUGGGUUUGACAUGCUUGGAUGCCCAUCCUGAAAGGGAGUAGGCUGCUCUUCGGAGUGAAACUUGCACAGGUGCUGCAUGGCUGUCGUCAGCUCGUGUCGUGAGAUGUCGGGUUAAGUCCCUCAACGAGCGAAACCCUUGUCGUUAGUUGCCAGCGCGUUAUGGCGGGAACUCUAACGAGACUGCCGGUGUUAAACCGGAGGAAGGUGGGGAUGACGUCAAGUCCUCAUGGCCUUUAUGCCCAGGGCUGCACACGUGCUACAAUGGCGUAGACAGACCGAAGCGAUACCGCGAGGUGGAGCAAAUCGGAAAAACUGCGCCCCAGUUCGGAUUGCAGGCUGCAACUCGCCUGCAUGAAGUUGGAAUCGCUAGUAAUCGCAGAUCAGCUAUGCUGCGGUGAAUAUGUUCCUGAGCCUUGUACACACCGCCCGUCAAGUCACGGAAGCUGGGAGUACCUGAAGUCGGGUAGCUAACUUUUCGGAGAGGCGCCUGCCGAUGGUAAGCCUGGUAACUG